CCAAAUAUCUAAACGGAGAAAUUCAACAUUACCCUUAAAAGUAAUGUGCACUUUUCUCUUAGUAAGACGCCGUGAUCCAUUAGAAAUUGGUGCACGCCAAGUGUACAGUGGGUUAUCAAUAGUGCCAGUGUGAAGUUUAUUUGGAACAAAUGGCGUGAUCUUUUACGGUCGCGUGUAUUGUCUGGUAAGCACAUCUGGUAUCUGUAAUAACUGUCUGAUGGAUUUUAAAGACUGCUAUCAACGAUGCCUUGUGCAUCGACACUGCAUUGUGGUGUUAUUAAGAUACAUGUCCGAUCAACGGUGGUUAAAUUUGGGAUACCUUUUGGACCCGUCUUGAAACACGGACCAAGGAGUCUAUCUAGUAUGCGAGUAAAUGGAUAAUUAAUGAAAUCUAUUUGCGHAAUAAACGUGACUGUAUAUAAUGGGAUUACAAUUUGUAAUGCUUUCAUUAGUAUUGCUUAUUUUCCAUCCCGGGGUAUUUUCAUCAACAUAUGCCGUUAAAAAGUAUAUGGAAAAUAUACCAUGAGCACACUGGAUGCGACCCGAAAGAUGGUGAACUAUGCCUGAUCAGGUCGAAGUCAGGGGAAACUCUGAUGGAGGACCGAAGCAGUUCUGACGUGCAAAUCGAUUGUCAGAAUUGGGCAUAGGGGCGAAAGACCAAUCGAACCAUC
RNAcentral lists this ribosomal RNA (671 nucleotides) under Polypedilum sp. DK. RNAcentral's name for it is "partial 28S ribosomal RNA". Lineage: Eukaryota; Metazoa; Arthropoda; Insecta; Diptera; Chironomidae. The record is from RNAcentral.